UACGGAGGGUGCGAGCGUUGUCCGGAAUCACUGGGCGUAAAGGGCGCGUAGGCGGCGCGGGCAGUCAACGGUGAAAGCUCGGGGCUCAACCCCGAGUCGGCCGUCGAUACUCCCGUGCUCGAGCACUGUAGAGGCAGGUGGAAUUCCGGGUGUAGCGGUGGAAUGCGUAGAGAUCCGGAAGAACACCAGUGGCGAAGGCGGCCCGCUGGGCAGUGGCUGACGCUGAAGCGCGACAGCGUGGGGAGCAAACAGG
Molecule: ribosomal RNA, 253 nt
Filed under: uncultured bacterium
Lineage: Bacteria
Description: partial 16S ribosomal RNA
Rfam family: Bacterial small subunit ribosomal RNA
Source: RNAcentral